RNAcentral lists this ribosomal RNA (393 nucleotides) under uncultured bacterium. RNAcentral describes it as "bacterial SSU rRNA". It matches the Rfam family "Bacterial small subunit ribosomal RNA", at positions 30 to 417 of the family's 1533-position model. The record is from RNAcentral.
AUUGAACGCUGGCGGCAUGCCUUACACAUGCAAGUCGAACGGCAGCAUAGAAGAGCUUGCUCUUCUGAUGGCGAGUGGCGAACGGGUGAGUAAAGCAUCGGAACGUACCGUGUAGUGGGGGAUAACGUAGCGAAAGUUACGCUAAUACCGCAUACGCACUGAGGUGGAAAGCAGGGGAUCGCAAGACCUUGCGCUAUACGAGCGGCCGAUGUCAGAUUAGCUAGUUGGUAGGGUAAAGGCCUACCAAGGCGACGAUCUGUAGCGGGUCUGAGAGGAUGAUCCGCCACACUGGGACUGAGACACGGCCCAGACUCCUACGGGAGGCAGCAGUGGGGAAUUUUGGACAAUGGGCGAAAGCCUGAUCCAGCCAUGCCGCGUGAGUGAAGAAGGCCU